UAGACCAAGACCAAUGGGGCUCUCGGGCUCCUAAGUUAAGGUGACUCUGGAUAACUGUGCUGAUCGCAUGGCCUUAGCGCCGGCGAUGAAUCUUUCAAGUGUCUGCCUUAUCAGCUUUCGAUUGUAGGUUAUUCGCCUACAAUGGCUAUAACGGGUAACGGGGAAUCAGGGUUCGAUUCCGGAGAGGGAGCCUGAGAAACGGCUACCACAUCUAAGGAAGGCAGCAGGCACGUAAAUUACCCAUUCCCAGACCGGGGAGGUAGUGACGAAAAAUAACGAUGCGAGACUCAUCCGAGGCCUCGCAAUCGGAAUGAGUACACUUUAAAUCCUUUAACGAGGACCCAUUGGAGGGCAAGUCUGGUGCUAGCAGCCGCGGUAAUUCCAGCUCCAAUAGCGUAUAUUAAAGUUGUUGCGGUUAAAAAGCUCGUAGUUGGAUUACAGUUCCGGACUGACGGUUCACCGCCCGGUGCUUACUGUCACGCUCCGAGCAGCCUGAAACAUGGCCCCGCCGGCUCGCCUGGGGUGCUCUUUACCGAGUGUCCCGAGUGGCCGGCAUGUUUACUUUGAAAAAAUUAG
This 576-nucleotide ribosomal RNA is filed under the name uncultured eukaryote. RNAcentral's name for it is "bacterial SSU rRNA". It matches the Rfam family "Eukaryotic small subunit ribosomal RNA", at positions 211 to 769 of the family's 1831-position model. The record is from RNAcentral.